AUGCUUGUAGACGACCAGGUUCUCCUCCUUGGAGUGGCAGCACGGCUUCGACCCCUGCCAUGUUUCUGUGCCAGUGCUUGGCUAGCAGCUGCAUGGUGCGGGAAGUCCUCGUGCGGCACAUACCCCAAUGUCGUGCAACCACUUCAUGAUAAUGAUGAUGGGUCUGGCCUCGAGCAUGACACGGUAGGCAAUCCCCAGUCGGCCUACUGUACAAAACAUAUUUUAUUAGAACACUGGCAAAAAUUCAAGAUACAACAGUCCAUAGUCUAUUCAUUCCUUAAAACAAUUUUCCCUGAUAAAGACAAAUUGGAAGAUGCUGCCGCCACCAUGAGACCGGUGGGCAAAGGAACAUCCUUUCUGUUUGUGAUACAUGCUAAUAGAAUCAAGCACAAAAGCACUAUAUUAUGUGAUUUCGGGUCAAAGAAAAGGAUAUAUUUAUGA
This 441-nucleotide ribosomal RNA is filed under the name Triticum aestivum (bread wheat). RNAcentral's name for it is "partial small subunit ribosomal RNA". The record is from RNAcentral. Lineage: Eukaryota; Viridiplantae; Streptophyta; Magnoliopsida; Poales; Poaceae.